UACGUAGGGGGCAAGCGUUGUCCGGAUUUAUUGGGCGUAAAGCGCGCGCAGGCGGUCUACCAAGUUCGGAGUGACAGUUUCCGGCUUAACCGGAAAAGGUCUUCGAAAACUGGUGGACUUGAGGACUUGAGGGGGAGACGGAAUUCCGGGUGUAGCGGUGGAAUGCGUAGAGAUCCGGAAGAACACCGGUGGCGAAGGCGGUUGGCUGGGCCGUAGCUGACACUGAGGCGCGACAGCGUGGGGAGCAAACAGG
This 253-nucleotide ribosomal RNA is filed under the name uncultured bacterium. RNAcentral's name for it is "partial 16S ribosomal RNA". It matches the Rfam family "Bacterial small subunit ribosomal RNA", at positions 524 to 776 of the family's 1533-position model. The record is from RNAcentral.